GAGUCUUAAUUGGGCGUUAAGUUGCAGGGUAUAGACCCGAAACCCGGUGAUCUAGCCAUGGGCAGGUUGAAGGUUGGGUAACACUAACUGGAGGACCGAACCGACUAAUGUUGAAAAAUUAGCGGAUGACCUGUGGCUGGGGGUGAAAGGCCAAUCAAACCGGGAGAUAGCUGGUUCUCCCCGAAAGCUAUUUAGGUAGCGCCUCGUGAAUUCAUCUCCGGGGGUAGAGCACUGUUUCGGCUAGGGGGCCAUCCCGGCUUACCAACCCGAUGCAAACUGCGAAUACCGGAGAAUGUUAUCACGGGAGACACACGGCGGGUGCUAACGUCCGUCGUGAAGAGGGAAACAACCCAGACCGCCAGCUAAGGUCCCAAAGUCAUGGUUAAGUGGGAAACGAUGUGGGAAGGCCCAGACAGCCAGGAUGUUGGCUUAGAAGCAGCCAUCAUUUAAAGAAAGCGUAAUAGCUCACUGGUCGAGUCGGCCUGCGCGGAAGAUGUAACGGGGCUAAACCAUGCACCGAAGCUGCGGCAGCGACGUUUAUGCGUUGUUGGGUAGGGGAGCGUUCUGUAAGCCUGCGAAGGUGGCCUGUGAGGGUUGCUGGAGGUAUCAGAAGUGCGAAUGCUGACAUAAGUAACGAUAAAGCGGGUGAAAAGCCCGCUCGCCGGAAGACCAAGGGUUCCUGUCCAACGUUAAUCGGGGCAGGGUGAGUCGACCCCUAAGGCGAGGCCGA
Molecule: ribosomal RNA, 730 nt
Filed under: Salmonella enterica subsp. enterica serovar Paratyphi B var. L(+) tartrate +
Lineage: Bacteria; Pseudomonadati; Pseudomonadota; Gammaproteobacteria; Enterobacterales; Enterobacteriaceae
Description: partial 23S ribosomal RNA
Rfam family: Bacterial large subunit ribosomal RNA
Source: RNAcentral